AUCCUGAUGUGUACGUUGAAUUCAUGAUGUUUUGACCGAACAUUAAUAACAUUGGGAACCUGCUGUUCUUGUGUGGAGUGCAUGCCGCUAUACUUACGAAUCUAUUGCGGACGCACAAAGUACAGGACAAGGUACCCACCUGCUUGAAGCGGGAUCAAAACAUGUUUUCUUCAACGGCACAAUUGGGAUU
This 190-nucleotide non-coding RNA is filed under the name Gracilibacillus phocaeensis. RNAcentral describes it as "6S / SsrS RNA". It matches the Rfam family "6S / SsrS RNA". From Rfam's summary of the family: E. coli 6S RNA was the first non coding RNA to be sequenced, but its function was unknown until recently. It consists of 184 nucleotides that fold into an extended hairpin structure with a large single-stranded internal bulge. The record is from RNAcentral. Lineage: Bacteria; Bacillati; Bacillota; Bacilli; Caryophanales; Bacillaceae.